Molecule: ribosomal RNA, 774 nt
Filed under: uncultured Neocallimastigales
Lineage: Eukaryota; Fungi; Neocallimastigomycota; Neocallimastigomycetes; Neocallimastigales
Description: partial large subunit ribosomal RNA
Rfam family: Eukaryotic large subunit ribosomal RNA
Source: RNAcentral
UAUCUCUGUAGAGUCUGCAUAUCAAUAAGCGGAGGAAAAGAAACUAACUAGGAUUCCCUCAGUAACGGCGAGUGAAGCGGGAAGAGCUCAAAUUUGAAAUCUUCAAGGUUCUACCUUGACGAAUUGUAGUUUAAAGAAGUGUUUUCUGUUGAAGUUUUGGUAAAAGUUCUUUGGAAUAGGACAUCAUAGAGGGUGAGAAUCCCGUAUUUGACCAUUAUUUCCAGCUUUGUGAUACACUUUCAAAGAGUCGGAUUGUUUGGGAAUGCAGUCCAAAAUGGGUGGUAAAUUUCAUCUAAAGCUAAAUAUUGGCGAGAGACCGAUAGCGAACAAGUACCGUGAGGGAAAGAUGAAAAGAACUUUGAAAAGAGAGUUAAACAGUACGUGAAAUUGUCAAAAGGGAAGCGUUUGACACCAGUGUUGUUUUCUCGAAAAUCAAUUAAAAAAAGUUGGAUUUUGUAUUGUUAAGACCUUAUCAGCUUACUGUACUCUUUUCUUGCUUUUUUUAAUGCACUUUUCGUUUAACAAGUCAACAUCAAUUUCUUUUGUUGUAAAAGAGUCAUUGGAAGGUGGCUUUCACUUCGGUGAAAGUGUUUAUAGCCUUUGGCUUCUGCAAUCGGAGAGAUUGAGGUCUGCAGCGUAGAUCCUUCGGGGCUAGAUACGUAGAUGCUAAGUUAUAGUUUUUUAUAGACAACUUGUUGACUAUAAUUAAUCAUGUAGCUUACUCGUUUGCGCUAUUUUACCUACGCUUAGGAUGUUGAUAAUCACAGCGUGUAC